Non-coding RNA from Apis laboriosa (Himalayan honeybee), 68 nucleotides. Lineage: Eukaryota; Metazoa; Arthropoda; Insecta; Hymenoptera; Apidae. The record is from the annotation of a RefSeq genome assembly.
UUAGUUAAAGCUAAAAAUUAGCAAUUUAUUGUUAAUAAAUUAUUUGAAUAUUUAUAAUUCUAACUAAA